This is a long non-coding RNA of Sparus aurata (gilthead seabream), 1652 nucleotides long. The record is from Ensembl. NCBI's taxonomy places the organism in Eukaryota, Metazoa, Chordata, Actinopteri, Spariformes, Sparidae.
AUGAAAGAUGUACUUAAUGUUUUCAUGAAAACACGCUACCUGUGUAUCUUUCCCAGGAAUGUUUAUGCUUUUGGGGCACCUGAGGCAGAUAGUGGACUUAAAAUGUCAGCACAACACCCGGGGAGGUGCUGGCAAGGUGACAAAAACACCUCCUGUUCUGCCACCAUGUAUUUAGUCCUGAAAAGGCAGUGCUUCACUAAAGGGAGAAAGUCAAGGUCAGAAGAUCCACAUAUCAUGGAGGGAUUCUUUUUCAAAAUAAGUCUUUGAAAUGAGCACAACCAUUGGGUGUCAUGUGCGGAGCACUGAAAAACUGGGAUGUUUGGCCGGACACGUGCGACAAACUGCAGGCCCUGUUCCAGAAUGGACACUCUCAAAUUUGACCUGCAGGAGCAAGAGGGGGAGAACUACAUAUAUGCUGCUGCAGAUCGCUCUGUCUGCCCCGAUCUCCAGUUCUGCUACAGCUGGGGGGUGAGCAGGGGGUAAUAGGCAUAAAUAAAGAGCCCCAUUCAAAACUCCCAUUGAGACUUCGGUCUCCUAUAACUCAGCCCCAGAAACACGUAUUAUCACAGGACUGGUCUGUCACUGACACGUAUGCAUUGUUGCCCUGAACACAGAAACAUAUGAUGGUGAGUGGUUCCUGGGCCAGGUUAAAGGAGAAGAAAUUCUCCCCAUUUAAAGGCCCCGUAGUUUUUUGUAAACAGUGGGGGGAUUUUUGAGAUACAAAGUUGGUUUUGGCAUAAAAGUUAUUGUCUUGAUUAUGUUAUGUUAAUAAAUUGCAGUCGGCUCUAGCAACCUUCAGUAAGGGCCCAGGUAUCAAGAGCCAAUACCGAAGACUGAAGGGAUACCGUCAAACAACGACCCAAACUGGGGUCCAGCCAGCAGCUGUAGCCCGCAGAAAGGUGGCAUUGGGUGGGAGAAGGGCCUUAAUACCAGGAUGACCCACAAAGAAAAAGGGGUGCUCCUCAUUGUUUGGCCCACUGUGUGGACUUAAACAUGUCCCUUGGUGGAACACAUGCUCAACAUGGCGCCGCUCCAGGUGGCUGCCUGUAGCUGCAGCUCCCGUCGUGUUUUUUGUUUUUUUGUUUUUCGGAUCAAUCACAACUUGUUCAUGAAAGUUGUGACAAUGGCUGGGUAAGUUGUUCUCCGCGUUCUUCUGUUACUUUUUCUAAUAUUUGUAGUAGUUGUAGUAGUAGUGCCGGUAGUAGUGGGCAUUGUUUACACGUGUGAACAGCUGAUUGCGCUGUGUAAGCCUGUGCUGCUGCCCGGAGACAGACCUGUGGUCCCGCAGGAGUUACGGAGGAGACGUUGGGGCUGCAGGUCUGGAGCCAAACAGAGGGAGAAAUGGAGAAGACAUAAGCCAGCGGUCCUGGCGAUAUAAUGGGAAAUGUGAGGUCUCUGGGGAAUAAAACAGACAAACUUUCAGCGCUCGUGAAGACCCAGAGGGAAUACCGUGAGUGUAGCAUAUUUUGCUUGGCUGCACUCGCACAUCCCGGACAACAGCGUGGAGGUUCCUGGUUACAGUUUGGUACGGGGAUACAGAGACUGUUUCAAAAGUCGGAAGAAGAAGGGUGGCGGGCUUGCACUUUAUGUGAGUGAGAGGUGGUGCAAUCCCGGACAUGUCAACGUGAAGGAACGGCUCUGUACCCCGGACA